This 1125-nucleotide ribosomal RNA is filed under the name Treponema sp. oral taxon G41. RNAcentral describes it as "bacterial SSU rRNA". It matches the Rfam family "Bacterial small subunit ribosomal RNA", at positions 28 to 1176 of the family's 1533-position model. Lineage: Bacteria; Pseudomonadati; Spirochaetota; Spirochaetia; Treponematales; Treponemataceae. The record is from RNAcentral.
AACGAACGCUGGCGGUGCGUCUUAAGCAUGCAAGUCGAACGGCAAGAAAGUGCUUGCACUUUCCUAGAGUGGCGGACUGGUGAGUAACGCGUGGGUGAUCUACCUUUAAGUUGGGGAUAGCUUUUAGAAAUAAGAGAUAAUACCGAAUGUGCUUGUGAAACUUUGGUGUUGCAAGGAAAGGAGCGUUUGCUCCGCUUGAAGAUGGGCCUGCGUCCCAUUAGCUAGUUGGUGAGGUAAAAGCCCACCAAGGCGAUGAUGGGUAUCCGACCUGAGAGGGUGAUCGGACACAUUGGGACUGAGAUACGGCCCAAACUCCUACGGGGAGGCAGCAGCUGAGAAUCUUCCGCAAUGGACGAAAGUCUGACGGAGCGACACCGCGUGAAUGAUGAAGGCCGAAAGGUUGUAAAAUUCUUUUGCAGACAAAGAAUAAGUGCAGGAGGAAAUGCCUGCAUGAUGACGGUGGUUAUGCGAAUAAGCCCCGGCUAAUUACGUGCCAGCAGCCGCGGUAAUACGUAAGGGGCGAGCGUUGUUCAGAAUUAUUGGGCGUAAAGGGCAUGUAGGCGGUUGGGUAAGCCUGAUGUGAAAUCUACGAGCUUAACUCGUAAACUGCAUUGGGUACUGCUUAACUUGAAUCAUAGAGGGGAAACUGGAAUUCCAAGUGUAGGGGUGGAAUCUGUAGAUAUUUGGAAGAACACCGGUAGCGAAGGCGGGUGUCUAGCUAAUGAUUGACGCUGAUAUGCGAAGGUGCGGGGAGCAAACAGGAUUAGAUGCCCUGGUAGUCCGCACAGUAAACUAUGUACACUAGGUGUUGGGGUAGAACCCAGUGCUGAAAGCAAACGCAAUAAGUGUACCGCCUGGGGAGUAUGCCCGCAAGGGUGAAACUCAAAGGAAUUGACGGGGGCCCACACAAGCGGUGGAGCAUGUGGUUUAGUUCGAUGAUACGCGAGGAACCUUACCUGGGUUUGACACCCAGAGGGAUACUAUAGAGAUAUGGUAGCGUAGCCAUACGUCUCUGACAUGUGCUGCAUGCUGUCGUCAGCUGUGCUGUGAGUGUCGGUUAGUCCGCACGAGCGCACCCUCUGCAGUACUACAGUAUCUAGACCUGCGACGCGUAUACGAGAGUGG